GCCCGGCGGGCGGGUGCGCGGUCGGGCCGGGCCCGGCCCGGCCCGCGGGGCCGCCGCGAGCACGUCGUGAGGCAGCUGGACCGCGUCAAGGGUCACCUUCUGCGUCACAGCAAGAGAACCUUGCACGGCUGAUUCUGCUCGCUGCUCAGGUAAUGGCACGCGUGUGGCUGGGGGAGCGGGGAGACACAUUGGUGAGUUCAGGGAUGCUACAGAUACUCCACAUCGAAGCCAUGGAAAAGGCAACUUUGCUGCCAGUGCAGAAAAGCUGACGAGGAGUUGCAGUGAACAGAGCGUGCCUCCUGCCUGAGCAGGUCCCUCUAAAAAGAAUAUAAGGUCUGUUCUGGAGCACGUUACACAGCCAAAAGCAUUCGCCAAUCUGCUGAUGCUUUUUGAUUGCAGCACCAGGGAUUUGAUUUUCCCCCUGACCCUCGAGAAUAAAACCAUUUGGGCAAUCUCAUAUAUUGCUGAUUUUUCUAUGCAAAAUUAAACUUAAAAAAAAAGGUAACAUUGUAUAAUUUCCCACUGACUUGCAUUGUUUAAAGUGCAACUGCCAAAUAGCUGUAGCAUACAAUGUAUGAGGCAUAUUUAGGCAGUUAAGCGUUUGUUCUGAAGGUUUAAAAAGAGAGGCGACUGAAUGUUACCAGGUUUUCCCCGAUAUUUCGACAGAGUGCUCUGAGGUACUUUAUUUCUGUCUGGCUUUCAGUGGCGCGUUUCCCCAGCAGCCCAGUAGCAUCUCUCUCGGGCAGUGCCCCUGGCCAGAUGUCCCUCCUCCUUGGGUAACACCCAAGAAAACCUGCAGUCAAAUUAUUACUGUGUAUUUUGAAGAUGAGUAGUUUGCUGCUAUGAAUUCGCAGCUGUGCAAGUGAAAUUAGUGCCAGAGGCAAGUCAAAUACUUCUAGAGUAUGAGUAUUUUUACUGGAUGUAUAUAAACAUAGGCUCACCCUUUCACUAUGAAGUGAACGACCGAGCUUUGUUCUUUAUUGUUCCUUUUGCUCUUCAGGGUUUGAUCCGUGCCUCUCAGCUGCAUUGACCCAGCGAGCGAGGUGAGCGGCAGCAGCAGCAUGAGGGCUGUAGGUGCAGUGGUGGGUCCAGCAGUGUCAGUUCUGGUUACGGCCCAGUCUGGUCCUGCCGCCCUGCGGGGUGAUUUCCCUGCGGCCGCGCUGGGAGGAAGGGGCCAGGCGUUUGGCAGCACCAGACAGGGGGGGUGUGUGUG
This is a long non-coding RNA of Chroicocephalus ridibundus (black-headed gull), 1213 nucleotides long. RefSeq lists it as uncharacterized. NCBI's taxonomy places the organism in Eukaryota, Metazoa, Chordata, Aves, Charadriiformes, Laridae. The transcript has 2 exons. The record is from RefSeq and is a predicted model, not a curated record.